UUGCACGCUGGCGGCAGGCCUAACCCAUGCAAGUCGAGCGGAUGAAGGGAGCUUACUCCUGGAUUCAGCGGCGGACGGGUGAGUAAUGCCUAGGAAUCUGCCUGGUAGUGGGGGAUAACGUCCGGAAACGGGCGCUAAUACCGCAUACGUCCUGAGGGAGAAAGUGGGGGAUCUUCGGACCUCACGCUAUCAGAUGAGCCUAGGUCGGAUUAGCUAGUUGGUGGGGUAAAGGCCUACCAAGGCGACGAUCCGUAACUGGUCUGAGAGGAUGAUCAGUCACACUGGAACUGAGACACGGUCCAGACUCCUACGGGAGGCAGCAGUGGGGAAUAUUGGACAAUGGGCGAAAGCCUGAUCCAGCCAUGCCGCGUGUGUGAAGAAGGUCUUCGGAUUGUAAAGCACUUUAAGUUGGGAGGAAGGGCAGUAAGUUAAUACCUUGCUGUUUUGACGUUACCAACAGAAUAAGCACCGGCUAACUUCGUG
This 483-nucleotide ribosomal RNA is filed under the name uncultured bacterium. Its description in RNAcentral is "partial 16S ribosomal RNA". It matches the Rfam family "Bacterial small subunit ribosomal RNA", at positions 30 to 507 of the family's 1533-position model. The record is from RNAcentral.